GGGUACAUGAGUCUUUCCAUUUUGUGAGAAGUAUUUCCUUUGUUUCCUAUGUCCCCCUCUAUUCUUUGUUCUCUUCUCACUUAUUCUCCUAUGCAUAGAUGUACAAAGGAAUGGCUUCUUGUGUAGAGGGAAUUUUAAUCCCCUCCCCCUCCAGGAUAGCUGACCUGGCCCAUCCCACUUUUAAAUGGGAGGGUUUCCUCAGUGGACAUUAAUAAAGGGGUGUGGCUUGAGCCUAAAGGGGUCUCUUUGUUCUUUGUUCCCUCACCACUUCCUUGAGCAGGCUGGUGAAGGAUGGAUGGAGAUUCCUACAGGAUGGGCUACACCUUCUCAGACUGAGAGGAGGAAAGUAAAAGUCAGGAAGACUGAUCUGUGUAUCAGGCAAAUAUGUGCAGUGUUUCAUGCCAGUGGACCUCUCACCUCGUCGACAAGGUAGGUUGAUGGUUCCUUUUAUUACUUUCUUUAGAUUUCCCUUUGAUCUGAUACACUUUGUUUCAAGUACUUUUAAAUGUGAGCUGUCACUUUCAGAUUAUGGAAAUGCCUGUCCUUACCAUGCCUAGAUACUCUUGCAAAUAUUCACAAAGUUCUUUCCAUAAUAUGUUUUGAACGUUAAUACAUGUAUAACCAGAUCAAAUUGAUUUUUCGUUCCACUGGGAUUGGUUGGUCUCCUUGACCUUGUGUUCUCACUGUUUCACACUGUACAGCACUUCUUUUGUGAUCCCUUUUUCUAAAAUCAGACACAAUUAUUAGUAACAGUUCUUUGAUAUUUAACAAUUAAUGGCAGGUUUCUAUAAUCUGGGUUAGGUAUGGAUAUUUAGGCUAAAGGAUAUUUUAAACUUAUCCUUUAAUAUAAAUAA
Molecule: long non-coding RNA, 854 nt
Organism: Monodelphis domestica (gray short-tailed opossum)
Lineage: Eukaryota; Metazoa; Chordata; Mammalia; Didelphimorphia; Didelphidae
Source: Ensembl